UAGAUCUGGGAAAGUGCAAUAGAUGUUCUGGUGUUCGAUGGAAAGAGUCACACCCUGCUUGUAGAAUACAUUUGUACAUCAUUUAGGAUAUAAUGGAGGAUUGGAAUGAGAAACUUGUUACAGCUGCUAGGGAGGGAGAUAAAGAAGCCUUAAAAUUGUGCUUACAGAAUGAUGUAGAAAUUGAUUAUCAAGGAUGGGAUGGAGAGACAGCAUUAAUGAUAGCUGCCUAUGAAGGACACCUGGAGAUCUGUAGACUCCUCAUUGAUACAGGAUGUAAGAUCGACAUCACAUCAAC
Mytilus trossulus (common blue mussel) is the source of this 295-nucleotide long non-coding RNA. RefSeq lists it as uncharacterized. NCBI's taxonomy places the organism in Eukaryota, Metazoa, Mollusca, Bivalvia, Mytilida, Mytilidae. The record is from RefSeq and is a predicted model, not a curated record. The transcript is spliced from 4 exons.